This 211-nucleotide long non-coding RNA is filed under the name Elaeis guineensis (African oil palm). RNAcentral describes it as "long non-coding RNA (EGUI_LNC059600)". The record is from RNAcentral. Lineage: Eukaryota; Viridiplantae; Streptophyta; Magnoliopsida; Arecales; Arecaceae.
UCCAUGCCCUUUUAGGAGCUCCCGCACCCUCUCUUCCUCUCUCCCUCUCUUCUCCCUUGGGCGUCCCACACACCCCACCUUUGGGCAUCCCACAUCCACACACCCAUAAGGGCUUUGGCAUCCCCCUUUGAGUGUUGGUUCCUAGUGUUUGGUAACAGCAUAUACAAAGAAAAAAGGCAAGAGAAGAAGAGAAGAAGAAGAUCAAGGAAAG